This is a long non-coding RNA of Seriola aureovittata, 883 nucleotides long. RefSeq lists it as uncharacterized. The record is from RefSeq and is a predicted model, not a curated record. The transcript has 3 exons. NCBI's taxonomy places the organism in Eukaryota, Metazoa, Chordata, Actinopteri, Carangiformes, Carangidae.
CAAGUCCUCCAUCUGUUGUAUUUCAGAGUCAUCUACUGAAAUGCGCAUGCGCAGCAGCCAGCCCCGACCUGUCCGGUGUUGUGAUACCACUUUGUGACACUAGACGCUGUGUGAGUCAGUGGCGCGUCAAGUCUGCCCUCAGUCCCACGAAGAAGAACAACAACUUCCGGCAGCGCUAGCAUCACAGAAACACAGGAAUGGCUGAACCUCCUAAAAGGCGAUAUUCAUCCGCAUCCCGAAGGACCGCUCCCGACAAGAAACCACGUUCAACGGCAAAGAAAAUAAGCAACACGAGUAAAUCUCGAUGUGGUUUUCCACCGCUGGAGAAGCUCCUGAGAGUAAAGAGAUGCGGUUUGAUGCCGAGCUUGCAACUUUCCUGUUAGCCUGGGAUGGCAGACUCCACCUCAGGCCAGAAACCAGCAAGAAAUGGUGACAAAGAAGCUGCUGUUGCUGCUUCUGAAACAGUUGCCUGGGUUACCAAUGUUGGUGUGUUGGCGUUCCAGGACGGCGGCCGGAUUGAUGAUGCCACAUAUUCAAGGUGAACCCCCGGAGGUUCCUGUUUUCACAUUGAGGCAUAGCGGUCCUCGCUGGAGGGGAAGCACAGGAUGUUCGGCCUGACUGUUGCCAAAGUGAUCCAGAGGAUCUCCUGGGAGGAGUGGAGUCUCCACUGUUGGAGGAGGACACAUGGGGCGGAGGAGACAGCUCUCCUCAUCUAGGAUCUCCACGUCACCCUGGACGUCUCUUUGCUGGAUUCUCUCUGCAUCCAGGACACAUGGAGACACAGAGGAGCCGCCUCACCUGCAUUCAGGACCCAGCAGGUACAGCUGUACACAGAGACUGGUAGACUGACAAAGGGCGGGGUCAGCCUUCUGGUUUCCACCUU